UGGGUCAGCGACUUAUAUUCUGUAGCAAGGUUAACCGCAUAGGGGAGCCGAAGGGAAACCGAGUCUUAACCGGGCGUUAAGUUGCAGGGUAUAGACCCGAAACCCGGUGAUCUAGCCAUGGGCAGGUUGAAGGUUGGGUAACACUAACUGGAGGACCGAACCGACUAAUGUUGAAAAAUUAGCGGAUGACCUGUGGCUGGGGGUGAAAGGCCAAUCAAACCGGGAGAUAGCUGGUUCUCCCCGAAAGCUAUUUAGGUAGCGCCUCGUGAAUUCAUCUCCGGGGGUAGAGCACUGUUUCGGCUAGGGGGCCAUCCCGGCUUACCAACCCGAUGCAAACUGCGAAUACCGGAGAAUGUUAUCACGGGAGACACACGGCGGGUGCUAACGUCCGUCGUGAAGAGGGAAACAACCCAGACCGCCAGCUAAGGUCCCAAAGUCAUGGUUAAGUGGGAAACGAUGUGGGAAGGCCCAGACAGCCAGGAUGUUGGCUUAGAAGCAGCCAUCAUUUAAAGAAAGCGUAAUAGCUCACUGGUCGAGUCGGCCUGCGCGGAAGAUGUAACGGGGCUAAACCAUGCACCGAAGCUGCGGCAGCGACACGUAAGUGU
This 605-nucleotide ribosomal RNA is filed under the name Salmonella enterica subsp. salamae. Its description in RNAcentral is "partial 23S ribosomal RNA". It matches the Rfam family "Bacterial large subunit ribosomal RNA", at positions 616 to 1221 of the family's 2925-position model. Lineage: Bacteria; Pseudomonadati; Pseudomonadota; Gammaproteobacteria; Enterobacterales; Enterobacteriaceae. The record is from RNAcentral.